Molecule: ribosomal RNA, 835 nt
Filed under: uncultured archaeon
Lineage: Archaea
Description: bacterial SSU rRNA
Rfam family: Archaeal small subunit ribosomal RNA
Source: RNAcentral
GGUUACUGCUAUCGGUGUUCGCCUAAGCCAUGCGAGUCAUAUGUAGCAAUACAUGGCGUACUGCUCAGUAACACGUGGAUAACCUGCCCUUGGGUCCGGCAUAACCCCGGGAAACUGGGGAUAAUUCCGGAUAACGCAUAUAUGCUGGAAUGCUUUCUGCGUAAAAUGGAUUCGUCUGCCCAAGGAUGGGUCUGCGGCCUAUCAGGUAGUAGUGGGUGUAAUGUACCUACUAGCCUACGACGGGUACGGGUUGUGAGAGCAAGAGCCCGGAGAUGGAUUCUGAGACAUGAAUCCAGGCCCUACGGGGCGCAGCAGGCGCGAAAACUUUACAAUGCGGGAAACCGUGAUAAGGGGACACCGAGUGCCAGCAUCCUAUGCUGGCUGUCCGGGUGUGUAAAAUACACCUGUCAGCAAGGGCCGGGCAAGACCGGUGCCAGUCGCCGCGGUAACACCGGCGGCCCGAGUGGUGAUCGUGAUUAUUGGGUCUAAAGGGUCCGUAGCCGGUUUGGUCAGUCCUCCGGGAAAUCUGACAGCUCAACUGUUAGGCUUUCGGAGGAUACUGCCAGACUUGGAACCGGGAGAGGUAAGAGGUACUACAGGGGUAGGAGUGAAAUCUUGUAAUCCCUGUGGGACCACCUGUGGCGAAGGCGUCUUACCAGAACGGGUUCGACGGUGAGGGACGAAAGCUGGGGGCACGAACCGGAUUAGAUACCCGGGUAGUCCCAGCCGUAAACGAUGCUCGCUAGGUGUCAGGCAUGGCGCGACCGUGUCUGGUGCCGCAGGGAAGCCGUGAAGCGAGCCACCUGGGAAGUACGGCCGCAAGGCUGAAACUUAA